This is a long non-coding RNA of Dromaius novaehollandiae (emu), 4257 nucleotides long. RefSeq lists it as uncharacterized. Lineage: Eukaryota; Metazoa; Chordata; Aves; Casuariiformes; Dromaiidae. The record is from RefSeq and is a predicted model, not a curated record. The transcript has 3 exons.
GCUGGGCGGGGCGGAGCGAGCCGAGCCAAGCCGCCAUCCCGAGCCGGUCGGGCCUGCGCAGCCGCCGGGGGAGGGGGCGCGCGGCGCCGCUGUGGCCCGCGUGGAAAUGGCGCUUCUCGGGAGGCAUCAGGCGCUUUGAGGUCCAUUGAACCCCUUUCUUCUCUCAGAUGAUUCAUUUACAGUCAACAUGUUGAACUUGAGUCUUUAGGUACUUCUUCAAACACUCUUCUGAAAAAGAGCUUGAUUUCCUGACUCGGGUAAGUUGUAUGCUAGUUUUAUCCAUCUGAGGUAAGUGCUGGUGCUCAAGUUGCCUUUUAAACUUCUCUUUGAGAUGUUAAAUAUGGUAAGUUAUUAGGGAUCUAAACAUUAACUUUGUUGCUAUUGUUCUACAAAGGGCUUCUUUAAACAAUUUUGCUUUUGUAGCCAAUGAUAAAUCUUCUUCACUAUACCACCUCUGAAAUACUAAAUUUAAUUUGAAUGAUGAAAAAGAGAUGAUUUCAGGAAAAAUCAGAUAAAUGCAUUUUAUUUAAACCCACUUAGUGAUAACAAGUUCUUACAACUAACAGGAUAGUAUUUUAGAUUUAGCUUUUUAUCUGAAGUGUAAGCACCAAAUUCUCCAUUUCAGUUCUUCUGUCCUGAUGGUGGGAGUUUUGGGACCUGUUAUUUUUUCACUAAUACGCUGUUUAGGAAUUCAUGCCAGGCAACUUCUUUGGCUGUAUACGACAGUGUUGAACAAUACAAAAGCAUUUGGAAGAACUUGAAUUACAGAAUUAUAUUCUCUCAUCACAUAUUUUGCAACUGUAGGACUCGUUACUUUGUAAUCAUACAAGUUAUGGUUUAUCAUUGGUACUGGUUCAGCAACAUGUUAAUGAAGCCAUAAUUAUCUAGAAUUUCUUCAUGAAUGUGUGGAGGUGAAAUAAGAUUUUUCUCUUUCCUUGCUGAGGACACUGAUGAUACAAUUGUUAAAGGAGGAAUGGUAGUUAAUGGUAGUUUCGCCAUUAGCGCUUGUCAGGGAAGCUCUGCUUGCAUUCUGGCUGUGAUGGGUCAUAUGAUUAAUAAAAGUAGCCAGAGAGUAUCUCAUUUGUAGGUGAAUCUCAACUGACCUUGACAUGUUCUCUACAUUGAGAGCUUUUAUAGAAGUGCAAUGGUAGCACAGAAAUCUUUCCUAUAUCUUAUAGACACUUUGCACCAAUUUAAGUGUUGCAAAGUGACCACAGGUAGAAGGAUGAAUUUCACUUUACCCUGAAACUGAUUCUCGUGUGUACAGCAGUGUACUGAAGUCAGUGAUUUGCACAUUGGCUACAUCAGUAUAAGAGGAGAAUAAAAUCUUCCAGAGUUUUCCAUAUGUCCCCGUAAAGUCUUUCCCAACCUUUAAGUAAGUCUAGUUUUGAUCUGAGUUGUGAGAUAGUGCUAUAUAUGGUCAUCAUGCAAUUCCAGUUGAUGACUCCCAGAACUGGCCUUUUCAUCCUUUUUUUCUUGUGUUGCUAGUGAUGUCAGAAAACGAUGUGCAUACUGUCAGUGGAUAGAAUGCUUAUUUCUUCUGUCAGUUAUUACAUACUGUCUACAUCUGACAGCCCAUAUCUCUAUGUUAUUUUUAGGCAUUAUAUAUUUCUUCCUGUAUUUAUAUUUUGUACAGCACUUAGGCCUAAUUUCUGGAAGAUCAAAUUUGAUUAAUUUCUUAUUUUUCUCUGCAUAAGGCUUUCUCUUUUGUAUUCUCUUUACCACAUCUAAAUAAAAUCCAGAAUUUGCAUUGGUAGGGAUUUUUGAACCAAUUAAGUCCUUUUUAGAAAAAAUUAAAUACAAUUUUAGGAACAGUUCUAUGUAAUAAUCUGAGUUGGACUUUGGUUAUACUGGACAAUUUAUAGACUCUUGCAUGGUACGGAGUCAGUAGAGCUAUGUUAGAUAAUAGAACAUUUAUAACCAUGAGUGUGAUCCUGUACAUACACUCUACUUUUCAUCACAGCUGAUUGCUGUAGGUGAGCUAGUGGUUUCCAGAACUCAGAAAAUACUAAUUCAGAAUACAUUUGAAUAUUUCUGCACCACACAUAAUUAUGCCAUCUAGACAUAUCUGAAGUAUACUUCUAUACAGACUGAUACAGGUAGAUGUGAGUUGCUCCUUUUGUGCUUUGAGCUGGUUGUUGUGAGUCACCUCAGGUCUAGAAGCCAUAUAGCUAUGUUAGUGAGGUAGUCUAUUAAUCAAUGUUCUUCUUUGCUUUGUAGGACUUCCUAUGGCAAAGCACCCAUCAAGCUUGGAUAUGUGGUUCCCUCUGACCAACUCAGAAUGUCACAACUUAGUCACGGAAUAAGAAGGGAGUCUGCAUAGCUUUGGUCAAAAAUAAUCAGAGAACAAAACCUCAAAAAUUUUGGCUGAAAUUUGAUUUUGUGAAUUGCAACUGAAAACAUAAAUAGAGUAAGAAUCUGAUUAUGCAGUCCUCACAAGAGCAAAGUUCCUACUCAUGAUAAUAGUAAAUAUGUGUGGCAAAUGUUAAAAUUCCUGGAAUGAUUAUUUGUGAAACUUCAUGAUAUAUUUUUAAAAGGUAGAGUCUCAGUAUUUUCUUUAACUAUGGCAGACUUUUGUUACUCCAGUUUUGGAAACUGGAGAACUGCUCCCUGGUCCUAUCAACAGUUCAGGCUGAUAAUUAAUUGGAAUAUAUAUUCUUUUUAAUUCUCAGAUGUUAUUGAUGUCUCUUUUAUGUGCCACAAAGCUUUCUAUUAAUAACUUUGGAUUGUUAACCCUUCCCUGAGUCCUAACAUUAACCUUCAGCUCCAAACUUAGGUUAGCUUAAGGCUUUGUGAAAAAAAUGUUUAAAAUUUAUACGGGAACUCUGAAAAAAAUGUCAAAUGUUGAAACUGUAGGGGUUAGUCUAAUGGAUUUUUUUUUCUUUUGAAUUUUCUUUUUUUUUUUUUUUUAAACAAGAGAGAUUUUUGCAUGCUUUUGGUUGUUUUUUUCCAUCCCAUUGAAGUCAUUGUUCUUGACAGUGAAAUGCCACAGUAAAGAACAUUGAUUAAGGAAGUUUUAAGUAGUGAUAAUAAUCUUCCUGUUUAUUGAAGGGAAGGACAGGACAAUGAACAGGAAACUGCUUCAAAUCAAUCCCUACUAAUUUAAACUAUUUAUAGAAUCACUGAUCAAAGCAUGAUUCAUACAAACCUUGGGAGAAUAUAGUGCCAUAACCUGUGUACAUUUAUUUGCAAAUAUUAGGUAGUGUUUUCAUGAUUAGCAAUACCACAUAUCUGUCACCAUUAUUUUAUGUAGUAAUCUUCACAGAAAAACUCAGCCCCAAAUCAAUAAUUUCACAGACUAGGAAAGUAAAAGAGAAUAUAGUUCUUUGAAUUAAAAAUUAAAUUGUGUUAAUAAGUUUGGAAAAAGUAUCUUAUACUUGGCUUCUAAAUAAAUACUACAGAAGUCUCUUGUAAAUCUCUAGUAAUUUUUUGUAAUCAUUUACAAGUUGUAAAAUCAUAGCUGAAAGGCAGACAGAAAAGGAAUGUACAAAUAAGACAUCUGUUAUUGUUAUAUCAAUGAUGAUAUAUAACCAGCUCUGAAGUAAUAACAUUUAACAAGGACUACAGUCUUAUCCAAAAUGAGAUCUUGUCCACUUCCACUUCUUCAUUUAGUGCAUUCAUAAGAAUGAAGUGAAGUUUAUAAUUGGGAAAUCUUAUCUAUUAGCAUUUGUAGUAUAUCACAGUUAUACUACAUUAUGGUUUAGAUUAAUAGAUUUCCAGCCAAGCCAUAUCUUAACAUAUAAGGGUUAGCUGGUAAACCAGCUCCAAGCAAUGUAUGUGUGUACUGCUUAUGAAAAGUAUUCAGAAACACCAUGACUAAGUACAGUAAUACUAUAUUUUACAAGUUCAUCACUGGGAAAUUUAUAUACCAUUAAUGCAUUUUCUAGCCCAUUAAGGACAAGCAGCAUAUAAUGCUCCAUUGAAUACAAGAUUUACAGGUCACAAGCAUGGAAGGCUAUUCCAAUAUAGAUUUUGGGCGUAAAUGUCUUCUAGAGAUAUUGUUAUUGUGUUUAAUUUUAAAACAAAUUCUUACCAACUAAAUAUUAGUGUUUGAUUUAUCAAAGGGUUAAACUUUUAACUUGUUUGAAAUUGAUACAAAACUAUGAAACUGUAAAUAGUGAGACAGCUGGGGAAUGACAGAGCUUUUGUGUGUGUAGUGGGUGAGGAGAGAUGGGGAGAAAAUAUGUAUCAUUUUCUACCUCUUGUCACACUUUUUAGCCAUACAUUAAUAGAAACAAAAAUAAACCAUGAAAAAAA